CGCGUAGGUGGUUUGGUCAGUCAGAUGUGAAAGCCCUGGGCUCAACCUGGGAACUGCAUUUGAUACUGCUGAACUAGAGUGUGGUAGAGGGAAGUGGAAUUCCGGGUGUAGCGGUGAAAUGCGUAGAGAUCCGGAGGAACAUCAGUGGCGAAGGCGGCUUCCUGGACCAACACUGACGCUGAGGUGCGAAAGCGUGGGUAGCAAACA
Molecule: ribosomal RNA, 207 nt
Filed under: uncultured bacterium
Lineage: Bacteria
Description: partial 16S ribosomal RNA
Rfam family: Bacterial small subunit ribosomal RNA
Source: RNAcentral